GGGAUUAUAGUUUAACUGGUAAAACAUAGAUUUUGCAUAUCUAUAACAUGGGUUCAAUUCCCAUUGGUUCCA
Molecule: transfer RNA, 72 nt
Filed under: Magnusiomyces capitatus
Lineage: Eukaryota; Fungi; Ascomycota; Dipodascomycetes; Dipodascales; Dipodascaceae
Description: tRNA-Ala
Rfam family: tRNA
About the family: Transfer RNA (tRNA) molecules are approximately 80 nucleotides in length.
Source: RNAcentral